UACUCAACAAUAACGUAAUUAUUACCUUUGUUUGCAGUUAAUUUAAGAAACACUGUUUCAAGUUUAUCCACAGAGUGUCCAAUUGAAGACGACCAGAGAAGGAUGUUGAAAUAAAGAACUUUCUUAACACACUGGGAAGUUGGGGAACCUCUCCUUCCAGUCACGAGGCCCUGCCCUGCAGCAGCCGACCUGGAAAACCAGACCCCAGCCCCUGCAGCAAUGGGCUCCAGGAUUCAGUGCGUGGCUUUUCCCACGCUACCCAGACAGUGGUCCAUACGGCACUGUCUGGAUUCUUGUCAUAACGGGAAGUGAAUCUUUUACACUAUCCUGGGUCCUUGCUGUCCAGCAAAUGAAGGACGACGUCAUCACGUUCCUUGCAGUAGGGGCCCACUUAGGUGGCACCGACCUUUACUUCCCAACGGAGCAGUACAUCUACAGAAGGAAAAGUGACGGCGUCUACACUAGGAAUCCGAAGAGAACCUGGGAGAAGCUUCUGUAGGCAGCUCAUGCCAUCGUUGCCACUGAAAACCCAGCUGCUGUCCCUGCUGCGUCCUCCAGGAACCUUCGCCAGCGAGCUGAGCUGCAGUUUGCUGCCGCUUCGCUCCUGGAGCCUCCACUAACCAGACCCAGGCAGCUUCCAGGAGCCAAGACUCCUGGUGGUUACGAGGCCAGGGCUGACCGCCAGCCUCUCCCAGAGGCAUGUAUGUGAACUUCUUACCAUCGGUCUGUGUGACACGGACUCUCCUCUGCACUCUGGAGACCACCCAUUCCCAGCAACCAGGGAGCUGUCGGUGGGUCUGACUUGGCGGAUGCUCACUCGGGAAGUUCUGCCCGUGCGCGGCACCGUUUCCUGUGAACACUCUUGGGAGGUCGUGCCUGAUCUCUACAUCUGCAGAUUCUGAAGAGAUUAAAAGGGAAGAGCAGGUGCCAGCUGAGCAAGCUGUGACCAAGGAGGACUUCACCGUGAAUGGGUCACUUCAGCAGCUGAGUGCAACGCUACUGGAUCUGAGGUGCUGGCCUAGUCCACAGGCGGGCAGGUGAGCUUGCUGCCCACUCCACAGUUCCCCCUGAAGGCUGGCCUGCAGCGCCCACUGCUCAGGCCACUGGACUGGUAGGCACAGAACUGCGUGGGCUUCAGCUGUUCUUUCACAGGCUCUUUUCUUGGGUGGGGGCUGUGCUGGGUCCUUGCUGCUGCACAGGUGUGCUCUGGUUGCGGUGAACAGGGAGCACUCUGGUUGUGGUGCCUGGCCUUCUCGUUGCAACGGCUUCUCUUGUUAUGGAGCGUGGGCCCCAGGGCCCCCAGGCUUCAGUGGUGGCAGAGCGUGGGCUCAGUGGCUGUGGCCCCCAGGCUGUGGAGCACAGGCUCGAUGGUUGUGGUGCAUGGCCUUAGUUCCUCUGAGGCACGUGGGAUCUUCCUGGACCAGGGAUUGAACUCAUGUCUCCUGCAUUGGCAGGAUUCUUUACCAUGAGCCAUUAUGGAAACCCCACAAGCUCUUAAAAUGGAAAUUGGUUAACAGAAAAUAAGCAGUUUCUAAGUAAAUAAAUAUAUCUACUCAUGAGAAUGUUCUGUGACU
This 1574-nucleotide long non-coding RNA is filed under the name Bos indicus x Bos taurus (hybrid cattle). Its description in RNAcentral is "lncRNA (ENSBIXG00005003155.1)". Lineage: Eukaryota; Metazoa; Chordata; Mammalia; Artiodactyla; Bovidae. The record is from RNAcentral.